This 1008-nucleotide long non-coding RNA is filed under the name Nothobranchius furzeri (turquoise killifish). Its description in RNAcentral is "lncRNA (ENSNFUG00015023594.1)". The record is from RNAcentral. Lineage: Eukaryota; Metazoa; Chordata; Actinopteri; Cyprinodontiformes; Nothobranchiidae.
AUGAUCAUCAGGGCUGCUGUAAAAUUGAAUCUCCAGUCCACAGCCAGACAGAAUUAUCCUCUCUUCUGCCCCAUGAUUAGCAGCAGCAGGGAUGUUUAUGCCUACAAAGUUUUUCUUUUGUUCCUAACUAAAUUCCCCUUUUCAAGUGAGGCACAUUCCUCCUCUUGUUUUGACAUUAUGUUUCUUGUUGUUCUGAUCUAUAUUUCUGUUUGGAUGCCAUCUUUCCUCCGCCGUAGACCUGUCAGCACAUUUAACCACUGGUUGGUCAGCUACUGCAUGCGAGAAUGUGUUGGGCAACUUGUCUCUUUUUUCUCUGUGCGUGGCGCGCAUCACAGCAUGGCGCAUCCAUUGGCGCAUUUGGAGAGAAUGCAUCCUCUUGUGCAAAAAGAAGCUCUUCUUGAAACGCAUCUUCUGCUUUCAGAAGGGGCAGCACCAUGGACGUCUUUAGGAUUAGGUGUUUUUCCAGGAAAUACUACCCAGAGCAACUCGGACCGAUGCAGCUCAGCCCAACCACUGUUUCCGAGGGCACAGUUGGGUAUUCUCCCUCUGCUUUCAUCCAUAUUUUUAGUCCCUGCUCCGUUGAGGUACCUGGCAAGGCUGAGGCCCUGUCCACACGUAGCCGGGGAUCUGCCAAAACGUAGAUAUUUUUCUACGUUUUGGCCUGUCAUCCCCACGAAAACGGAUCUUUAUAAAAACUCCGGCCAAAGUGAAGAUCUGUGUUUUCUCCGUUUUGGGUGUCUGCGUGUGGACAGACAAAACCGGAGUUUUAAGGUCCGCAACGUCACUUUCCACGACAAAAAAAUGCUGACAUCACGUGUGCGACCUGUGUUUACACUAGCCGACAGCAUGGAUGCCCUCAGAGCUGCGCUCGCUUUAUCAAUUGUCCAAGCGCUUUUUGCUUGUUUGUUUUUGCAAGCGGAAUUACUGCUCCUUGCGGAAGACCACAGACGAAGGACGAGGUUAAGAACGGGGGAAGUACUGCCGCCUACAGGUCUGGCAUGUCCUUAA